GGAGCCUUCGCUGGUUUAGAGAGGCCAGGGAAAGCUCCCUACUUAAGGUGAUGCUUUUGCAGAGCCCAGUAGUUACUGGCCAGGCAUGUGGUCUUGAAGGCAUUCCAGUGUCAUGAAGAAGCAAGAUGCAGCAAGAGUCAAAAGAAGAAACUGAGAUUGAGUAACUAUGAAGGCAUGGCCACAGCAAGUGAUAGAAAAAUCAGGAGAGAGUGCUAUCGCAGAAGCCAAUGAGAAAGAGUGUUUCAAGAGGGAAUGAUGUCCACCUGCAUCAAAUACUGCUCAGAAAUCAGUUGCUGUUGAAUAUGGGUAAUCUACAUCCUGUUGCCUGAAGCUUGAAGUUCUCAUCUGCCCCCUCUCAGUAUGUACUUGUGAAAGAUGCAGACCUCAUCUGAGUUGAAGUAACCUAGGAGACCAAAAUAAAUGAUUCCUGCAGAAAGCUUGAGUGACAUUUUCAGAGCUGCAAUCCCUGCUUCUUCUUAAAAUGGCUAUAUACAUUGUAGGUUGGGAGGGUCAGAAGGCUGAUCACGGAAAUAUCUCGGAGGUAGAGUGGUGUGUGGGAGUAGGCAAUGAGAGAGGUAAGAGGACAAAAUGUAGAGAAGGAAGCAGAAUGGGCUAUCACCUUCUUUUGUUUCUUCCCACUGUAUGUGCCCCCAAGGAAGCCCCUCAGCUGCUCCCUUCCUUGCCCCCAUGACCCACAGACGGUGGUUGAACCACAGCUCUCUCUUUCUGAUAACACCCUUUGGUGUGAAACAAGUAAGACUCCAGAUUCCUGUUUGCUCUAAAAAUCCUGAAUGGCCUUCUGUAAUCAUUACAUUUUAUUACUCUCAUUUGAUUGUUUUGUUUUUUUUUUCCCCGUUAGAUAUUUUCUAACUGCUCUUCUGCAGACAGGACACUCGCAAAUGAACACAGCAAGCACACAGGCAUCUGUGUCUCUAUUCAGAAGUAUCACAAGUGAAAGGAUGAUGCCCAUUGCCUGGGGCCCUUUUUAUUCCACUUAGCCUGACUACUGAACUGGCAAGUGCAGGUAACGGCUUUCUCGCAGAGUCUCUGAGCACCGUGACUGUGUAAUGACAGCUGUGGUUGGAGGGCCCAAAG
RNAcentral lists this long non-coding RNA (1095 nucleotides) under Homo sapiens (human). RNAcentral describes it as "HSALNT0205635". Lineage: Eukaryota; Metazoa; Chordata; Mammalia; Primates; Hominidae. The record is from RNAcentral.